RNAcentral lists this small RNA (31 nucleotides) under Arabidopsis thaliana (thale cress). RNAcentral's name for it is "ATSL110130". The record is from RNAcentral. Lineage: Eukaryota; Viridiplantae; Streptophyta; Magnoliopsida; Brassicales; Brassicaceae.
GAUUUCUUCUUCUUCUUCUUCGUCUUCUAUG